UGUCGUCAGCUCGUGUCGUGAGAUGUUGGGUUAAGUCCCGCAACGAGCGCAACCCUUGUCGCUAAUUGCCAUCAUUUAGUUGGGCACUUUAGCGAGACUGCCGGUGACAAACCGGAGGAAGGUGGGGAUGACGUCAAGUCCUCAUGGCCCUUAUGGGUAGGGCUUCACACGUCAUACAAUGGUCGGUUCAGAGGGUUGCCAACCCGCGAGGGGGAGCUAAUCUCAGAAAGCCGAUAGUAGUCCGGAUUGCAGUCUGCAACUCGACUGCAUGAAGUCGGAAUCGCUAGUAAUCGCGGAUCAGCAUGCCGCGGUGAAUACGUUCCCGGGUCUUGUACACACCGCCCGUCACACCAUGGGAGCGGGUUCUGCCAGAAGUAGUUAGCCUAACCGCAAGGAGGGCGAUUACCACGGCAGGGUUCGUGACUGGGGUGAAGUCGUAACAAGGUAGCCGUAGGGGAACCUGCGGCUGGAUCACCUCCUUUCU
Molecule: ribosomal RNA, 484 nt
Filed under: uncultured beta proteobacterium
Lineage: Bacteria; Pseudomonadati; Pseudomonadota; Betaproteobacteria
Description: bacterial SSU rRNA
Rfam family: Bacterial small subunit ribosomal RNA
Source: RNAcentral